UCAAACUUGGUCAUUUAGAGGAAGUAAAAGUCGUAACAAGGUUUCCGUAGGUGAACCUGCGGAAGGAUCAUUAUUGAACUAUGUUUCUGAAUGGGUUGUAGCUGGCUCUUCUUUGGGGAGCAUGUGCACGCCUGUUUAGAUCUCAUAUUCAUCCACCUGUGCACCUAUUGUAGUCUUUGGUUGUCGGGAAUCGAGGAAGUGGUCAGUGUUUAUCAGCAUAUCUGCUGGAUUGUGAGGACUUGCAGUGUGAGAGCUCUGCUGUCUUUGACUUGGCCACAGAAUUGAUUUCUUGCUCCGGAGUCUAUGUUAUUCAUUACACUCUGUAGUAUGUCAUUGAAUGUCUUUACAUGGGCUUCUAUGCCUGUGAAAAUCACUAUACAACUUUCAGCAACGGAUCUCUUGGCUCUCGCAUCGAUGAAGAACGCAGC
RNAcentral lists this unclassified non-coding RNA (428 nucleotides) under uncultured fungus. RNAcentral describes it as "partial contains small subunit ribosomal RNA, internal transcribed spacer 1, and 5.8S ribosomal RNA". The stretch from base 1 to 73 matches the Rfam family "Eukaryotic small subunit ribosomal RNA", at positions 1759 to 1831 of the family's 1831-position model. Lineage: Eukaryota; Fungi. The record is from RNAcentral.